AGAGUUUGAUCCUGGCUCAGAUUGAACGCUGGCGGCAUGCCUUACACAUGCAAGUCGAACGGCAGCACGGGAGCAAUCCUGGUGGCGAGUGGCGAACGGGUGAGUAAUAUAUCGGAACGUGCCCAGUAGUGGGGGAUAGCCCGGCGAAAGCCGGAUUAAUACCGCAUGAGACCUGAGGGUGAAAGCGGGGGAUCGCAAGACCUCGCGCUAUUGGAGCGGCCGAUAUCAGAUUAGCUAGUUGGUGGGGUAAAGGCCUACCAAGGCAACGAUCUGUAGUUGGUCUGAGAGGACGACCAGCCACACUGGGACUGAGACACGGCCCAGACUCCUACGGGAGGCAGCAGUGGGGAAUUUUGGACAAUGGGCGCAAGCCUGAUCCAGCAAUGCCGCGUGCAGGAAGAAGGCCUUCGGGUUGUAAACUGCUUUUGUCAGGGAAGAAAUCCUCUGGGUUA
This 452-nucleotide ribosomal RNA is filed under the name uncultured bacterium. RNAcentral's name for it is "bacterial SSU rRNA". It matches the Rfam family "Bacterial small subunit ribosomal RNA", at positions 8 to 462 of the family's 1533-position model. The record is from RNAcentral.